Molecule: ribosomal RNA, 322 nt
Filed under: uncultured Bacillota bacterium
Lineage: Bacteria; Bacillati; Bacillota
Description: bacterial SSU rRNA
Rfam family: Bacterial small subunit ribosomal RNA
Source: RNAcentral
GACGAACGCUGGCGGCGUGCCUAACACAUGCAAGUCGAGCGGAGAUAGUAGCAAUACUAUCUUAGCGGCGGACGGGUGAGUAACGCGUGGAUAACCUGCCUUAUACAGGGGGAUAACACAGGGAAACUUGUGCUAAUACCGCAUAACAUAUUGAAGUGGCAUCACUUUAAUAUCAAAGGAGCAAUCCGGUAAAAGAUGGAUCCGCGUCCGAUUAGCUAGUUGGUGGGGUAAAGGCUCACCAAGGCGACGAUCGGUAGCCGGACUGAGAGGUCGAUCGGCCACAUUGGGACUGAGACACGGCCCAGACACCUACGGGUGGCUG